AGUGAACGCUGGCGGUAUGCCUAACACAUGCAAGUCGAACGGCAGCACAGUAAGAGCUUGCUCUUACGGGUGGCGAGUGGCGGACGGGUGAGGAAUACAUCGGAAUCUACUUUUUCGUGGGGGAUAACGUAGGGAAACUUACGCUAAUACCGCAUACGACCUACGGGUGAAAGCAGGGGAUCUUCGGACCUUGCGCGAUUGAAUGAGCCGAUGUCGGAUUAGCUAGUUGGCGGGGUAAAGGCCCACCAAGGCGACGAUCCGUAGCUGGUCUGAGAGGAUGAUCAGCCACACUGGAACUGAGACACGGUCCAGACACCUACGGGAGGCAGCAGUGGGGAAUAUUGGACAAUGGGCGCAAGCCUGAUCCAGCCAUACCGCGUGGGUGAAGAAGGCCUUCGGGUUGUAAAGCCCUUUUGUUGGGAAAGAAAAGCAGCAGGUUAAUACCCCGCUGUUCUGACGGUACCCAAAGAAUAAGCACCGGCUAACUUCGUG
Molecule: ribosomal RNA, 492 nt
Filed under: uncultured bacterium
Lineage: Bacteria
Description: partial 16S ribosomal RNA
Rfam family: Bacterial small subunit ribosomal RNA
Source: RNAcentral